GGGGGGAGCAAGCGUUGUUCGGAUUUACUGGGCGUAAAGGGCGCGUAGGCGGCCAGCACAAGUCAGUUGUGAAAUCUCCGAGCUUAACUCGGAAAGGUCAACUGAUACUGUGCGGCUAGAGUGCGGAAGGGGCAACUGGAAUUCUUGGUGUAGCGGUGAAAUGCGUAGAUAUCAAGAGGAACACCUGCGGCGAAGGCGGGUUGCUGGGCCGACACUGACGCUGAGGCGCGAAAGCCAGGGGAGCGAACGGGAUUAGAUACCCCGGUAGUCCUGGCCUUAAACGAUGAAUGCUUGGUGUCUGGGGUUAUAUAGUCCCCGGGUGCCGUCGCUAACGCUUUAAGCAUUCCGCCUGGGGAGUACGGUCGCAAGASGKG
Molecule: ribosomal RNA, 374 nt
Filed under: uncultured bacterium
Lineage: Bacteria
Description: bacterial SSU rRNA
Rfam family: Bacterial small subunit ribosomal RNA
Source: RNAcentral